Long non-coding RNA from Pipistrellus kuhlii (Kuhl's pipistrelle), 1985 nucleotides. RefSeq lists it as uncharacterized. The record is from RefSeq and is a predicted model, not a curated record. NCBI's taxonomy places the organism in Eukaryota, Metazoa, Chordata, Mammalia, Chiroptera, Vespertilionidae. The transcript is spliced from 2 exons.
AGUUAAAGGUAAAUCUUAUUUUUUUGUAUAUUUUUAUUCUAAUUUUUAAAAAACCCACAUUUACAUGGUUAAAUAAAAAGGCUUAUUAUAUAAUAGAUUCUGUGCCUGUUCCCUUCACUCACAGUUUUGGAUUCUCUCCAAUGUUUCUUAUAGAAAGAAAGAAGCAAAUCUGUAUACAUACUCUUUAUUUUUUCUACUUUCUACUACCAAAGGUAGCAUAAUGUGUGCAACAAUGUGUCACACUAUCAUGGUGGACUUCUCUGAGAAGGUGCAGUUUUAUUUUUAUUUUAUGAGGAAGGCAACUGGACAGGACAGACAAGGCAGGCUUGCAUGUAUAGCAUUUGGAUGUAAAUAUGCAGUACAGCCCUAACGGUUUUGGCUCAAUGGAGAGCAUUACCCCUCCGACUGAAUGGUCCCAGGGGUUUGAGUCCUGUACUGGGCAUGUUUCUUGGUUGUGAGCUCUAUUCCCUGUAGGGGGCGUGCAGGAGGCAGCUGAUAUGUGUUUCUCUCAUCAAUGUCUCUAGCUCUAUCCCUCUAAAAAAAAAACAAACAAACAAUAAAAAUAUAUUAAAUAAACAAAUAUGCAUUGCAUGUGUCUGGAACCAAGUCACAUGUAGGUCUCUGUUGUCAAAAAGGAGAUAUUCUGGAAUCCACUUUCAGUUAUCUCGUUAGCAUCCAUCAUAGUAAGACGCAGGACUUGGGCACCUGGGUCAGAAGAGGAUGCAAAAGCAUCACUACCGACUGUGGCCUGCUUUUGCUGAUAUGCAAGAGGAGCUGACGUUAGAGCAGUGUCCGCUUAUCCUGGCCACCAGGGCAACCAUCUCACUGCCUCUCAUUAUGAAAGGGAAACCAGAAGAGAAAGGACCAGCAAAGAUCACAGAGAUCAGGGCUUCUGUCUGUGUAACUAGCAGGAAAAUAGUUGUUUGGCUGAGGAAGCAUGAAGCUAUGAUUCAUGGGCAGGUGGGAAAGAGAUGGGAACUAACACAUUCUGAGCAAAAGUGGGGAAUGCGCCAGGGAAGGUGGACCCAGGAUUCAUGGGGUGAGACGUAAGAGCCCCUCACUCCUCAGCACGGUGGUCUGGGGAACUCUGAGGGUAGUGAAAAAGCAUGUAGUUCUGAUGAACUUGUCUGAGCAUGGUCCAGCCCAGUGCCCAGAUCAUGACACUCGGUCUUCAAACGAGCUGUAUUCAUGAUGUGGCGGAGGGGUGUCCACACCAGGAACCUGGCCACUUGGUUUCUGAAGAAGCACUUGGUUGGAUUCUUAUGCUUUGAGCUGCUUCCUUAAUGGGACUCUCAGGGCUGAGGGACUCUCCUAACCCUCCUCUGUUCAUCUUCACUUCUGCUCCUGUGUAUCUCGCCCCCUGCUGUUCACUCUAGUAAUUGUAUGGGGAGACUGCUUGACUUCUCUCACAUGCCAGGACUAGUCUGUUGCUGAUCACUCAGCUGUUCCCACUGGGAGGGUGACGGGCCAGGCUGAACUCUGACUUUGAGGCAGUGGUCCGGCCCAGGCAAGGAUGUUCUGCCAUGUGCCUCCAUUCACACAGUAUCUCCAGGCCCAGCUUUGGUGUUUGUCAAGUGCUUACCUGCAUCUUCUCCAGUGUAGUUUCUCCUCGGAGGGCCCCCCAGUAGCAACUGCCUGAGGUCACACAGUGUGGUAGCACCACCAGAAUUGUUUUUGGGGGCCUUGAGUCAAGUACUGUUAUUCCCUGUUUCAUAGCAUGUCCCACAUAUGUAUCACCUUACCAUCUUUGUACCCUUUACCUAAAAAUAGAAUGGAUAAAAGUGUAAUGCUAUGCAGUAUGUUACCGAUUGAUGUAAGUUAAUCAUACCCAUACCUGAUGGAAAAAAAAGGUGCUGCGAAGUCUGGGAAUGGUCACUUUGAGUAUUUUCCAAACCUAAUUAGAUUUAAAUGCAAAAUAGUCCUCUAUUCCACCUUUUCUUAACCUGCAUGCAUGCUCAAAUCACCUAAGGAGCUACAAGAUAAAC